This 237-nucleotide ribosomal RNA is filed under the name uncultured Actinomycetales bacterium. RNAcentral describes it as "partial 16S ribosomal RNA". It matches the Rfam family "Bacterial small subunit ribosomal RNA", at positions 96 to 334 of the family's 1533-position model. The record is from RNAcentral. Lineage: Bacteria; Bacillati; Actinomycetota; Actinomycetes; Actinomycetales.
UGGCGAACGGGUGAGUAACACGUGGGUAAUCUGACCCUGCACUCUGGGAUAAGCCUGGGAAACUGGGUCUAAUACUGGAUAUGACCUUUCUCCUUAUGGGGUUUGGUGGAAAGUUUUUCGGUGUAGGAUGAGCCCGCGGCCUAUCAGCUUGUUGGUGGGGUGAUGGCCUACCAAGGCGACGACGGGUAGCCGGCCUGAGAGGGUGAUCGGCCACAUUGGGACUGAGAUACGGCCCAG